GAUGAACGCUGGCGGCGUGCCUAAUACAUGCCAGUCGAGCGAACAGACGAGGAGCUUGCUCCUCUGACGUUAGCGGCGGACGGGUGAGGAACACGUGGAUAACCUACCUAUAAGACUGGGAUAACUUCGGGAAACCGGAGCUAAUACCGGAUAAUAUAUUGAACCGCAUGGUUCUAUAGUGAAAGCCGGUUUUGCUGUCACUUAUAGGUGGAUCCGCGCCGCAUUAGCUAGUUGGUAAGGUAACGGCUUACCAAGGCAACGAUGCGUAGCCGACCUGAGAGGGUGAUCAGCCACACUGGAACUGAGACACGGUCCAGACUCCUACGGGAGGCAGCAGUAGGGAAUCUUCCGCAAUGGGCGAAAGCCUGACGGAGCAACGCCGCGUGAGUGAUGAAGGUCUUCGGAUCGUAAAGCUCCGUUAUUAGGGAAGAACAAAUGUGUAAGUAACUAUGCACGUCUUGACGGUACCUAAUCAGAAAGCCACGGCUAACUACGUG
Molecule: ribosomal RNA, 497 nt
Filed under: uncultured bacterium
Lineage: Bacteria
Description: partial 16S ribosomal RNA
Rfam family: Bacterial small subunit ribosomal RNA
Source: RNAcentral